AUAAGCUCACAAAGAAGGUUCAUGCCCAAAAUUAGGUCUUUUUUUGCCAGCAACAAAAAGCGUUUGGGCCUGGCACAAGGCCCAGCGUGGAGUUGAUGAACCGGACGGGGUGCACGGUCUAUGCUGGUGGUGCAUAGACCAAUCAAUUGAUUUGGGCCUAAGGCCCAAACGGGAUCAAUGCAAAAAACUGGCCCUAGAAUGGAGUGUACGUAACGGACUCGAACCAAAAGAGCUUAUCUCAUAAGCUGCAGCCAAACUGAAAAGGCUUCUCCAACAAGCUCCCAGCUUCAACAACAAUGGUGUUCAACGAUUCUUCGCUUCGGUAUCAUGGAUGUUGAUUUGGAUUCUUCGUAUCGGUAUCAUCUUCAAGGAUGCGUCCUCUCCGCAUCUCAGAGUUCAUGGAUUGUAUCAUGGAUUUGUAUUUGGAACGUUUGAGUCGGAGCAAGGAGAAGGAAGAAGACUUACCGGAUUUUUGAGCUCCGAAACGGUGGCUCUGUGGAGAUGCACAAGUGUCUAUAUGAAUGAUGUUGAUGUCAAGUAUGUGAAUCAUCUAGCUUAGUGUAUAUAUAAGAAAGGAAUGACGUUGAAUGGUGUGUAAGACGUGGCGGAAGGUAAUGGCAUGAGUCAUGAAUAUUGAAGAUUUUGUAACACAACACGUUCGUACGUUGUCACUAUGUCAAAGUUUAUCAAAUACGUGACACAUGUAAGGCAUUACUUUGAUGUUGGUGAAUUGAAACGAGACAAGAACAGUGUGAACAUAAGGGAUUUGUACCAUGAAUCUUCUACUAAUUAAAACUACAGAAUCUUUUUU
Molecule: long non-coding RNA, 811 nt
Organism: Lathyrus oleraceus (garden pea)
Lineage: Eukaryota; Viridiplantae; Streptophyta; Magnoliopsida; Fabales; Fabaceae
Exons: 2
Source: RefSeq, a predicted model, not a curated record